AGAAUCAACGCUGGCGGCGUGCCUAACACAUGCAAGUCGCACGAGAAAGGGUAGCAAUACCUGAGUACAGUGGCGCACGGGUGAGUAACACGUGAAUCAUCUACCUCCGAGUGGGGAAUAACUGAGAGAAAUCUUAGCUAAUACCGCAUAAUACCCACGGGUCAAAGCAGCAAUGCGCUUGGAGAGGAGUUCGCGGCAGAUUAGUUAGUUGGCGGGGUAAUGGCCCACCAAGACGAUGAUCUGUAUCCGGCCUGAGAGGGCGCACGGACACACUGGAACUGAAACACGGUCCAGACUCCUACGGGAGGCAGCAGUGGGGAAUAUUGCGCAAUGGGCGAAAGCCUGACGCAGCGACGCCGCGUGGGGGAUGAAGGCCUUCGGGUUGUAACCCUUUCAGCAGGGACGAAGCGAAAGUGACGGUACCUGCAGAAGAAGCGCCGGCUAACGUACGUGCCAGCAGCCGCGGU
This 467-nucleotide ribosomal RNA is filed under the name uncultured bacterium. Its description in RNAcentral is "SSU rRNA". It matches the Rfam family "Bacterial small subunit ribosomal RNA", at positions 26 to 521 of the family's 1533-position model. The record is from RNAcentral.